RNAcentral lists this ribosomal RNA (427 nucleotides) under uncultured bacterium. Its description in RNAcentral is "bacterial SSU rRNA". It matches the Rfam family "Bacterial small subunit ribosomal RNA", at positions 355 to 774 of the family's 1533-position model. The record is from RNAcentral.
UGGGGAAUAUUGGACAAUGGGCGAAAGCCUGAUCCAGCCAUGCCGCGUGUGUGAAGAAGGUCUUCGGAUUGUAAAGCACUUUAAGUUGGGAGGAAGGGCUGCAAGUUAAUACCUUGUAGUUUUGACGUUACCAACAGAAUAAGCACCGGCUAACUUCGCGCCAGCAGCCGCGGUAAUACGAAGGGUGCAAGCGUUAAUCGGAAUUACUGGGCGCAAAGCGCGCGUAGGUGGUUUGGUAAGUUGGAUGUGAAAUCCCCGGGCUCAACCUGGGAACUGCAUCCAUAGCUGCCUGACUAGAGUACGGUAGAGGGUGGUUGAAUUUCCUCUGUAGCGGUGAAAUGCGUAGAUAUAGGAAGGAACACCAGUGGCGAAGGCGACCACCUGGACUGAUACUGACACUGAGGUGCGAAAGCGUGGGGAGCAAACA